This 449-nucleotide ribosomal RNA is filed under the name uncultured bacterium. RNAcentral's name for it is "partial 16S ribosomal RNA". It matches the Rfam family "Bacterial small subunit ribosomal RNA", at positions 28 to 523 of the family's 1533-position model. The record is from RNAcentral.
GAUGAACGCUAGCGGCAUGCCUAACACAUGCAAGUCGAACGAGACCUUCGGGUCUAGUGGCGCACGGGUGCGUAACGCGUGGGAAUCUACCCUUGGGUUCGGAAUAACAGUUAGAAAUGACUGCUAAUACCGGAUGAUGACGUAAGUCCAAAGAUUUAUCGCCCAAGGAUGAGCCCGCGUAAGAUUAGCUUGUUGGUGGGGUAAUGGCCUACCAAGGCGACGAUCUUUAGCUGGUCUGAGAGGAUGAUCAGCCACACUGGGACUGAGACACGGCCCAGACUCCUACGGGAGGCAGCAGUGGGGAAUAUUGGACAAUGGGCGAAAGCCUGAUCCAGCAAUGCCGCGUGAGUGAUGAAGGCCUUAGGGUUGUAAAGCUCUUUUACCAGGGAUGAUAAUGACAGUACCUGGAGAAUAAGCUCCGGCUAACUCCGUGCCAGCCGCCGCAGUAA